Molecule: small RNA, 291 nt
Filed under: uncultured Snodgrassella sp.
Lineage: Bacteria; Pseudomonadati; Pseudomonadota; Betaproteobacteria; Neisseriales; Neisseriaceae
Description: 5' ureB small RNA
Rfam family: 5' ureB small RNA
Source: RNAcentral
UAAUUUGCUGGGGUGAAAUAAAGUGAAUAUGGGUAUCAAUUCCACCAGCAGUAGCAAUCAAAUUGGCUCCAUUAUGCACUUCAGUGGAUGCACCAAUAAUCAUAUUCGGACUGACACCAUCCAUGGUAUCAGGAUUACCAGCCUGCCCCACCCCGACGAUUUUGCCAUCACGUAUACCAAUAUCAGCUUUGACAAUGCCCCAGUAAUCGAUGAUCAGUACAUUGGUGAUCACUAAAUCGAGCACAUUGGGAUUGUUGCGCGGCGCAGUUGCUGAUUGUGCCAUGCCAUCCC